AGCCAGACUCCUACGGGAGGCAGCAGUGGGGGAUAUUGCACAAUGGGGGGAACCCUGAUGCAGCGACGCCGCGUGGGUGAAGGAGUGCUUCGGCAUGUAAAGCCCUAUCGGCAGGGAAGAAGCAAGACGGUACCUGACUAAGAAGCCCCGGCUAACUACGUGCCAGCAGCCGCGGUAAUACGUAGGGGGCAAGCGUUAUCCGGAUUUACUGGGUGUAAAGGGAGCGUAGACGGUUAUGUAAGUCUGGAGUGAAAGCCCGGGGCCCAACCCCGGGACUGCUUUGGAAACUGUGUAACUGGAGUACAGGAGGGGCAGGCGGAAUUCCUGGUGUAGCGGUGAAAUGCGUAGAUAUCAGGAGGAACACCGGUGGCGAAGGCGGCUUACUGGACCAUAACUGACGUUGAGGCUCGAAAGCGUGGGGAGCGAACAGGAUUAGAUACCCUGGUA
RNAcentral lists this ribosomal RNA (447 nucleotides) under uncultured bacterium. RNAcentral's name for it is "bacterial SSU rRNA". It matches the Rfam family "Bacterial small subunit ribosomal RNA", at positions 329 to 792 of the family's 1533-position model. The record is from RNAcentral.